UACGUAGGGUGCGAGCGUUGUCCGGAAUUAUUGGGCGUAAGGAGCUCGUAGGCGGUCUGUCGCGUCGGUCGUGAAAACUUGGGGCUUAACCCUGAGCUUGCGGUCGAUACGGGCAUGACUGGAGUUCGGCAGGGGAGACUGGAAUUCCUGGUGUAGCGGUGAAAUGCGCAGAUAUCAGGAGGAACACCGGUGGCGAAGGCGGGUCUCUGGGCCGAUACUGACGCUGAGGAGCGAAAGCGUGGGGAGCGAACAGG
This 254-nucleotide ribosomal RNA is filed under the name uncultured bacterium. Its description in RNAcentral is "partial 16S ribosomal RNA". It matches the Rfam family "Bacterial small subunit ribosomal RNA", at positions 524 to 776 of the family's 1533-position model. The record is from RNAcentral.